Long non-coding RNA from Gallus gallus (chicken), 2710 nucleotides. The record is from Ensembl. Lineage: Eukaryota; Metazoa; Chordata; Aves; Galliformes; Phasianidae.
GGGAAAUUUAUCGUGUGCAAGAAAAAAAAGAAAAAGAAUAGCCUCUCAUAACCUUAAAAAAACCCAACAUGAAGCAUCUAUAUUGGGCAGAUUUAUGUUAGGGAAUGACGACACUUAGAAAGGAAGCACAUCAAAUGUCUUGCAGUUUGAGACUACUUCUAAACAUCAGUAGGUCAGCCACUUCACAGCUUUUUCAUGCCUUGGGCCUCAUGUUCACACCCACUUAUGGUGCCCCUUUGCUUCAGGGGCCCCAGAAUCUCUCACUUCUAUCUUGAGGUUCAACCUGGAGGGAUCCUACUGGCCCCAGAUGUCAAAGCACUCGAGUAGUGCCGUCGCUUGAACUUGAGUUGCUCAUGUGCUGUGAUGAAUUCGGGCUCUGGCCAAGAAAGAGGAACGGCUUUGAGAAAUGUGAAAAGGGCAGCAGAUGCAAAACCUGGCAUCAGAGGACGCCUAAUGCUGACUGAGGGAUGACAGGCUUUGAAACCAAAAGGAGGAGACUUAGGGCAGAUGCUGCACAGAUGGGAGAAUCCAAGAAGAGCUGCCUGGGGAGGAGAGGAUGUGAUCAAAGCAGUGCUCACGCUGGAUGGACAUCAGUGGAAAGAGGAGUGGAGUCAGCCCUGCAACUGUCUUGUCCAGCUUUUUCCCUGUACACAACACAAGUGACAACGGUUUGGCAACCAGUCUGGGAUAUUUUUUAUCUGCUUUCUUCUCUCUCCUUUCUGGACUUCAAUAUGUAUUUUGAAUUUUUGCUGCAAAAUGCAGAAAGUAAAUAAAGAGACAACUUAGACGGGCAAUGGACAGACCUAACAGAAGAUGGAGAAGAGAAACUGUAACAAAUAAACCUAAAUAAAGAGUCAAACUCUUAAUAAAUUAUGUCUGACCACCAGACAGCUAUAGCAAAACAGCCAAAUGAGCUGCCAUGCCCUGAUGCUGAUAGUCUGGAUAAAAUAUUAAAACAAGUCUGGACCAAAGAGAACCUCUCAGCAAUGGUAGAGCAGUUUGCUUUCUAGCCGAGGUAAAAAUAACAUGUAAUCAUUUAAUACAAUUUCUUCAAAUAAACUUUAUUUGGAGAUAAUGGCUUCCAGAUGGGUGAAGGUUUAUAAACAUCUCUGCCACAAGAUAAAUUCCCACUGGGUAACGGAUGGGAUAAGGGAGUGAGUCAGUCACUGGGUCUGACUGGGAGGUUAGACGUGGGCUCUAGCCCCAAAGCUGAGCAGCAAGAAGGGACUUCUGUCCAUCCAGUUGUUCCUUCUUGCUGUCCAAAACAACGUCGCCUGUUGGGACUCAUAGAAACAUAGAAUGGUUUGAGAUGGGAGGGACCCUUAAAGGCCAUCUGGUCCCACUCCCUGCAGCACACAGGGACACCCACAGCUCCAUCAGUGUUCAGAGCCCCAUCCAGCCAGACCUUGAAUGGAGAAUCCACCACUUCUCUGGGCAACCUGUGCCUGUGCCUUGCCACCCUUGUCGUAAAAAAACCUUUCUCCUUAUAUCCAGCCUAAAUUUCCCCUCUUUUGGUUGGAAACCAUUUCGCCUUGUCCUGUCACAACACACCCAGAUGGUCGCUGCCUUGUGCUACGACCUCCUGAGCUGUGCCUGGGAGGUGUCCAUGAAACGGUCCACUGGUCCAGUCCAAAAUGGAGCCAAAAACAUCCUAAAAAUGAAACCCUUUGGGCGGAGAGCUCUCAUGCUUUGGAACGAUUCCAGCACAGAUACAUUCUACGAGUGACUUUACAGAAGAAUCCACAACCCUUUCUGUAUCAACCGAUACCCUCCUUGAAGCUAUUUUGGAAGCACAUCCAAGCCUUCAGGGCUACAUUAUCACGUCCAGCUUUGCAAAUAUGUAAGCUCACAUAAAGCACCAUCACGGGUGUUUCACACUCAAAGUAAGAACCUGUUCAAGAUGUCCGUGCAGUUUCUCAAUGAAUAGCCCAGCACCUUUUUGGAUGAAAUACUCGCCUGGAUCUCCUUGGAGCCAACGCUGCUAGUCAGGCUGUCAGUGUCACACAUGUAUUUAAUUGCUUUGCUGGGCUGAGGCCCUGCAGAAUCAGCGCGAAGAAUGCGAAGGGAACAACGGCACUUCGCGCUUAAUGUGGGGGGAUUUUGAGUGUUAUUAAUUAUUUUUCGUUUUGCUGGUUAGCAUGGAGAGACAGAGGGCUGAAACACAUCCAGGCAGAAAUCAGCCACAGUUAUUAGUGCCUCAAGUCUUUGUCUUGUAGGCUUCAAGCUGGUUAAAACAACAGAAAAGGGAAAAAGAAAAGCAAGACAUUUUUCAGAUGGAGGCCCCCAAGAAAUGCUGGUUUUGAUGGUGCCUCUUGCUGGGGAUUGAGCGCACCAGGCCAUCGUCUCUGCGUGCCUCAGGUGGUAGAAAUACACUGGCUGCUCUGAAGUCACCUGGGAGAAAGCAAAGAAGAGGAAUAGCUCGCUAUCUCCCUGUGAUGGAUUACUAACCCAUCCCUGGGAUAUUCCGGAGAGAACAGACAUGCAGCCCAUGCUGAGGAUGAAUUACUGGAUCCAAUUAUAACGGGAGGAAUUAAAAAAAGGAGAACCCCUCCGGAUAAUCAGCACCAGCUGCCCCACACAGGGUACCCUAUCCUCCAGGCAAGCCACAGCUGUGAUUCAUGCCACGUCCCAUGUUGUUGCCUGCCCUUAGAGCCUACACAAUAUGACGUGUUCUGCCUCAGUACGUGCAUAAUUCUUCCUUACGCGUGAG